Long non-coding RNA from Astatotilapia calliptera (eastern happy), 1281 nucleotides. NCBI's taxonomy places the organism in Eukaryota, Metazoa, Chordata, Actinopteri, Cichliformes, Cichlidae. The record is from Ensembl.
GGAACUUCUUUGGGAUGCAGCGCUUCCCGUCAGCACAACGAUGCUCACAGCUCUUGAUUGGUUUCUGGCAGUCAGAUUCAUCUGAAUGGUCCUGACACUGGAACCUCCCAUCACACACCUGAACCUCGGGGAUGCACAUUUUCCCAUGGGCACACUGAAACUCACCUGGGGUAGAAAGAAGACAAUCAAGGAUGAAGUCGCUUGCAUUUGCACCCUCACAUGUACAAGUUUUAAAGUAAAACAGAUGUUAUCAUUUUCAAUAACAUUAAGUUCACUCUGUCAGGGUCAAAAAGCUAUUUUCAGACACAGAAAGAUUACAUGUAAAGUGAAACAACCUUUUUUGCAAAUUCCUGGACAUCCUUCUUCAUCAGAUCCAUCCAUGCAGUCUUUCUCUCCGUCACAUACGUGGCUGAGUAAAACACACUCUGUGCCAUCACUACACAUCUUUGCAUUUCUAUGGCACUGCAGCACAUCAUCUUUAGCUGCAGGAGCGGCCACACUCCGACAGUUCAGUUCAUCCGAUCUAUCUUGACAAUGAGAGAGUCCAUCACAGACCAGACUCUUGGAGACACAGCCCAUAUGGUCCUUGCAGAGGAAGUCAGCUAUGGAGAGGGGAAAAAACAAAAAUCAAAAAACAAAACAAAGAUACCAAGCUGAAGAUAUAUAUAAAAAUAAUAAAAAAAAAUAAAAAACUGCCUCCAAACUACUUAUGCUUAUACAGAACAGCUAUGAGACUGAAUAAAUAUUCAAAAUGAUUAUUAUUUUUAAAACUGUCUGACAAUUAAAAUCACAUCUUAAAUAAUUAGCUAGAUUCUGUAGACCAAGCCUUUUUUCAUAGCAAUUCAAGCACUUACUUGGGUUUACACACUGGACCGCACAGUCAUUCUCAUCCGAUCCAUCCAUGCAGUCUUUCUCUCCAUCACAUACGUGGCUGAGUAAAACACACUCUGUGCCAUCACUACACAUCUUUGCGUUCCUGCGGCACUGCAGCACAUCUUGAGCUGCAGGAGCGGUCACAGUCGGACAGUUCAGUUCAUCCGAUCCAUCCUGGCAAUGACGGCGUCCAUCACAGACCAGACUCUUGGAGACACAGCCCAUAUGGUCCUUACAGAGAAAGUCAGCUAUGGAGAAAAAAAACAAGCAUAACAAUCUACCUUACAGAUCAAAAUAUAACUUUUUCAAAACUCAUGUCUUUAUUUCUUGGCUAAAUGUGUAGACUAAGCCUUUUCUUCAUGGCACAUUCAAGCACUUACUUGGGUUUACACAAUGGACCGCACAGUC